CUCCGACUCAGAGUAGUUUGAUCAGUGGCUCGAGGACGAACGCUGGCGGUGUGCUUCACACAUGCAAGUCGAACGAGGUAGCAAUACCUAGUGGCGGACGGGUGAGUAACGCGUGGGAAUCUGCCUUUAGAUGGGGGAUAACGGGUCGAAAGACUCGCUAAUACCGCAUAUGACGAAAGUUGAAAGGAGUAAUCCGUCUAAAGAUGAGCCCGCGUCCGAUUAGCUAGUUGGUAGAGUAAAAGCCUACCAAGGCGACGAUCGGUAGCUGGUCUGAGAGGAUGAUCAGCCACAAUGGGACUGAGACACGGCCCAUACUCCUACGGGAGGCAGCAGUGGGAAUUUUACGCAAUGGGCGAAAGCCUGACGUAGCGACACCGCGUGAGCGAAGAAGCCCCUUGGGGUGUAAAGCUCUGUCAGCUGGAACGAAAAAAUGACGGUACCAGCAGAGGAAGCAUCGGCUAACUACGUG
RNAcentral lists this ribosomal RNA (469 nucleotides) under uncultured bacterium. RNAcentral's name for it is "bacterial SSU rRNA". It matches the Rfam family "Bacterial small subunit ribosomal RNA", at positions 1 to 507 of the family's 1533-position model. The record is from RNAcentral.